GGCUCCAUAGUCUAGUGGUUACGACAUUGGACUCUGAAUAUAAGAGCCCGAGUUCGAAUCUCGGUCCU
Molecule: non-coding RNA, 68 nt
Organism: Marchantia paleacea
Lineage: Eukaryota; Viridiplantae; Streptophyta; Marchantiopsida; Marchantiales; Marchantiaceae
Source: the annotation of a GenBank genome assembly